Molecule: ribosomal RNA, 305 nt
Filed under: uncultured bacterium
Lineage: Bacteria
Description: partial 16S ribosomal RNA
Rfam family: Bacterial small subunit ribosomal RNA
Source: RNAcentral
ACAGCAGUAGCCACGGUAAUACGUAGGGUGCAAGCGUUAAUCGGAAUUACUGGGCGUAAAGCGUGCGCAGGCGGUUAUAUAAGACAGAUGUGAAAUCCCCGGGCUCAACCUGGGAACUGCAUUUGUGACUGUAUAGCUAGAGUACGGCAGAGGGGGAUGGAAUUCCGCGUGUAGCAGUGAAAUGCGUAGAUAUGCGGAGGAACACCGAUGGCGAAGGCAAUCCCCUGGGCCUGUACUGACGCUCAUGCACGAAAGCGUGGGGAGCAAACAGGAUUAGAGACCCCUGUAGUCCCUGUCUCUUAUAC